CCUACGGGAGGCUGCAGUGGGGAAUAUUGCACAAUGGGGGAAACCCUGAAGCAGCAACGCCGCGUGAGUGAGGAAGUAUUUCGGUAUGUAAAGCCCUAUCAGCAGGGAAUAGAAAAGAAGGUACCUGCAAAAGAAGCCCCGGCUAACUACGUGCAAGAAGCCGCGUUAAUCCGAAGGGGGCAAGCGUUAUCCGGAUUUACUGGGUGUAAAGGGAGCGUAGACGGAAAGGCAAGUCAGAAGUGAAAGCCCAAGGCUAAACCAUGGGACUGCUUUUGAAACUGUCAUACUAGAGUACGGGAGAGGUAAGAGGAAUUCUUGGUGUAGCGGUGAAAUGCGUAGAUAUGAGGAGGAACAC
This 355-nucleotide ribosomal RNA is filed under the name uncultured bacterium. RNAcentral's name for it is "partial 16S ribosomal RNA". It matches the Rfam family "Bacterial small subunit ribosomal RNA", at positions 338 to 709 of the family's 1533-position model. The record is from RNAcentral.